RNAcentral lists this ribosomal RNA (292 nucleotides) under uncultured bacterium. Its description in RNAcentral is "partial 16S ribosomal RNA". The record is from RNAcentral.
GGACUACAGGGGUAUCUAAUCCCAUUCGCGACCCACGCUUUCGUGUUUCAGCGUCAGAAACGGACCAGUCUCCUGCCUUCGCUUUCGGUGUUCCCCAUGAUAUCAACGCAUUUCACCGCUACACCAUGAGUUCCAGAGACCCCUUCCGCUCUCAAGCACUGCCGUUUCCCGCGCGCGCCCUCGGUUGAGCCGAGGAAUUUUACGCGAGACUAACAGCGCCGCCUACACACCCUUUACGCCCAAUGAUUCCGGAUAACGCUCGAGGCACUCGUAUUACCGCGGCGGCUGGCAC